This 295-nucleotide ribosomal RNA is filed under the name uncultured Acaulosporaceae. RNAcentral's name for it is "partial small subunit ribosomal RNA". It matches the Rfam family "Eukaryotic small subunit ribosomal RNA", at positions 569 to 865 of the family's 1831-position model. Lineage: Eukaryota; Fungi; Glomeromycota; Glomeromycetes; Diversisporales; Acaulosporaceae. The record is from RNAcentral.
AGCAGCCGCGGUAAUUCCAGCUCCAAUAGCGUAUAUUAAAGUUGUUGCAGUUAAAAAGCUCGUAGUUGAAUUUCGGAAUCUGUCCAUCGGUCGUGCUUCACUGUUCGUACUGGUGUGGUGGGUUCUUACCUUCUGAAUAACCAGCAUGCCAUUCACUUGGUGCGCUGGGGAAGCAGGACUAUUACCUUGAAAAAAUUAGAGUGCUCAAAGCAGGCCAGCGCCUGAAUACAUUAGCAUGGAAUAAUAAAAUAGGACUCUGGUUCUAUUUUUUUGUUGGUUUCUAGUGACUAGAGUA